Molecule: transfer RNA, 71 nt
Filed under: Patescibacteria group bacterium
Lineage: Bacteria
Description: tRNA-Gln
Rfam family: tRNA
About the family: Transfer RNA (tRNA) molecules are approximately 80 nucleotides in length.
Source: RNAcentral
UGCGGGAUCAUCUAAUGGUAGGAUACCAGACUCUGAAUCUGGUCAUCUAGGUUCGAAUCCUAGUCCCGCAG